UUUCUGUCUAUAGGAAAGAUAAACGUGUUUCUCCUGCUCUUACUUUUGGCUGUUUGGGUUCAUUAGUGUGAAUUUACUUUGCAUUUAUGUUACCUUGUGCCUCCGCCAUCAGGAGUAUUCAUGCUACAAUUUGAGAACCUUGGAUAUAAACGGAACCAAAGACAACAGAACAAAGUGACACGACGCCAAUGACGCGAACCCAAAAGGCAACGACAGAAAGAAUGUCCCAUUGGCUUCCCUAUUGGCGUGGAUUUCUCCUGGACGCGGUGGAGGAUUCGGCCCAGAUAAAUCCUGCUGAAUCUGUCUUCGACUCACCGUUAAACUUUCUCCCUCGCAGCCUCCACAUCCGCACCACAAUAUGAGCUCCAUGUUCCCAGCAGCAUGUUCCUGCCGGUGCACUUCCACACCGUCAGAGCCGGUUUCAAGCUUUCAACGUAGUGGUCACAGUUCCUGCAAAAGCACUCGAGUUGUUUUCAAGCGAUUCGUUCGGCUCUUCCUCUCCGAGGCGCUGGAAGCCCGGGUUGGACCUUUAGGUCAGUCACUAUGCUGGAGAGUUCAGGAAGCCACUGGGGAACGUUAAAAUCAAGUGGUGAUGAAAGUCUACUUACAGGAUUAUCCAGAUUUCAUAGCCUAAGAUCUGCGGCUGCAACUUUGUUUCAGCGGUUCUGCGACUGGAGCCUGCAGAACCGCAGUUUGACCUUCCACAACCACCGAGGACAAUCGGCAGGUCUCUACACACUCCAAAAUCCUCCAUUUGUUGCUUGUUAGGUUAAACAAAGCACAUUGCAAUGUAUCAUCAUGACCUUCUGUUUAAUACUUUAAGUGUAAAAAAGUGAGAACAAAAACAAAUAAUUUGCAAACGAAGUAAUAUUUAUUCUAAAUUCAGGCGAGCCACUGAGCUAUUUCCAUAUUUCAAAUAUAUUUGUACUAAUAUAUUUCAAAACAGGAAAAUGAGGUAAGAUUGAUUUUAAAUGAUUUUACAAUAAAGAUGGUCAUAGUGUGUUGUGCCAAACAAACAAGGAUGGAAACCAAACUUGUCAUUUUAUUGUAAACCUUUUGAUGAGGGAAACAGAUGGAGAUGGACAGCAGCUGUCAGUCGGAAGGACUGGCAGCCCUGGGUGUAUUUGUGAACUUGCUGGUGAACACUUUUCAGAAGGUGGCGAAGGGAUUGCAUGAACAGUAACGAUUGAAAUCCUCACUCUGUCCGACAGACAGGAGCAUGCUGCUAAUCACCGCUGGUCAUUAUCCUCAGCCUCUCUGUGGCCCGUUACUUAACUCCCCUGGCAUUUUCCUUUUCUUCCCAUGUGUCACAGCUGAGGUGGAUACAGUCUGCUUACUUCCCCCCCCCUAAAAAUUUAGCUUAACAUUUAAUGAAUACAUAAACUCUUAGCUGGAAUUCUAUAAAUAUGUCACUUACUUUGCCAUUGCCUGUUCAUUUCAAAACACGUAGAGACGGGGAAACUCGUUACACAUUGCAUUCCGGAUGAAUUACUUGGCUCCGAGUGAAAUUCUUCACAAUAAAUCUCAAGGUGGAUUUGCAGAUAAUAAAACUCUGUGUUAUGUUUUAUGGCUGAACAAGUAACUGUUUUGUGCAUAAAGGGGAAAAUUCAUUAUGUUAGUGCAUGCGCUUGAUUUUUUUCACUAACGCAGCAAUCAAUCUCUGUAAUAUUUGCGAUAUUUGACGACUCUAUCCGUUACACUUAAAGAGACGUUUCUUAAUUU
Molecule: non-coding RNA, 1722 nt
Organism: Poecilia reticulata (guppy)
Lineage: Eukaryota; Metazoa; Chordata; Actinopteri; Cyprinodontiformes; Poeciliidae
Source: RefSeq, a predicted model, not a curated record